This 604-nucleotide long non-coding RNA is filed under the name Macaca mulatta (Rhesus monkey). RNAcentral describes it as "lncRNA (ENSMMUG00000053971.1)". The record is from RNAcentral. Lineage: Eukaryota; Metazoa; Chordata; Mammalia; Primates; Cercopithecidae.
GUGGCCACAGUCAACGUCCUGAUUCGGCCUGAUGGAGAGAAGAAGGCAUAUGUUCGACUGGCUCCUGAUUACGAUGCUUUGGAUGUUGCCAACAAACUUGGGAUCAUCUAAACUGAGUCCAGCUAGCUGAUUCUAAAUAGAUGUAUAUCUUUUCACCCUAAAAAAAAGGAAAUAAUGUUUUUCAUAAGAAUGACAACUUAAAAUCUUAAAGCUUAUAGAUUUGAUUCUAAUUAUCUACUGUUCUCUUCCUACAAACUGAACGAAAAUGAAAAGGAAGUCAUUUCUGCAUGUGUCACAGAGGCAUCCUUUGGUUCUAAAGGGAGCUGAGUUGGAUUCCACAAGCGUAUGGUCCUUGUAGCAUGUGAAUAGGAUUCAGUCACGGACGAGAAGGAAGGGUUCGGGGAGACUGUCACCGCCCUGUCCAGGCUAACACUCCAGCUGCCCAGGUGACAGGCUGGCCUGUGUUUGUGUUGUAUUUCAGAGGAGAGCCUGGUGUCACUUACAGCAGACAUUGCAGAUGCCUCAGCAUUUCGGAUGAAGACGGUGCAGGUGGAGCUGUGCAGUCCUGCACUGAAGCCCUGCAGUCCUGACUUCUCAUGGAGCU